GAUGAACGCUGGCGGCGUGCCUAAUAAAUGAAAGUAGAACGCUGAAGGAAGGAGCUUGCUCUUUCCGGAUGAGUUGCGAACGGGUGAGUAACCCGUAGGUACCCUCCCGGGAAGCGGGGGAUAACUAUGGGAAAAGAUACUUAAUACCGCAUAACAGUAGAUGUUGCAUGAUACCUACUAAAAAGGUGCAAUUGAACAACUCCCAGUUGGACCUGCGUUGUAUUAGCUAGUUGGUGAGGUAACGGCUCACCAAGGCGACGAUACAUAGCCGACCUGAGAGGGUGAUCGGCCACACUGGGACUGAGACACGGCCCAGACUCCUACGGGAGGCAGCAGUAGGGAAUCUUCGGCAAUGGACGGAAGUCUGACCGAGCAACGCCGCGUGAGUGAAGAAGGUUGUCGGAUCGUAAAGCUCUGCUGUAAGAGAAGAACGAGUGUGAGAGUGGAAAGUUCACACUGUGACGGUAUCUUACCAGAAAGGGACGGCUAACUACGUG
This 497-nucleotide ribosomal RNA is filed under the name uncultured bacterium. Its description in RNAcentral is "partial 16S ribosomal RNA". It matches the Rfam family "Bacterial small subunit ribosomal RNA", at positions 28 to 507 of the family's 1533-position model. The record is from RNAcentral.